GAUGAACGCUAGCGGCAGGCCUAACACAUGCAAGUCGAGGGUGACAGGAAAGCUUGCGUUUCGCUGACACCGGCGCACGGGUGCGUAACGCGUAUGCAACCUACCUCAUACUGGAGAAUAGCCCUUGGAAACGGGAGUUAAUACUCCAUGUAUCAUUCUUUCGCAUGUUAGAAUGAUUAAAGAAUUUCGGUAUGAGAUGGGCAUGCGUCCCAUUAGCUUGUUGGUGAGGUAACGGCUCACCAAGGCUACGAUGGGUAGGGGGCCUGAGAGGGUGGUCCCCCACACUGGUACUGAGACACGGACCAGACUCCUACGGGAGGCAGCAGUGAGGAAUAUUGGUCAAUGGAGGAAACUCUGAACCAGCCAUGCCGCGUGAAGGAUGACGGCCCUAUGGGUUGUAAACUUCUUUUUGAAUAGGAAGAAACUUAUCUACGUGUAGAUAACUGACGGCACUAUUAGAAUAAGGAUCGGCUAACUCCGUG
RNAcentral lists this ribosomal RNA (482 nucleotides) under uncultured bacterium. Its description in RNAcentral is "bacterial SSU rRNA". It matches the Rfam family "Bacterial small subunit ribosomal RNA", at positions 28 to 507 of the family's 1533-position model. The record is from RNAcentral.